AAUGUUUGACGCCGUUAAUUUUUUAGCACAUGUUUGACCGUUCGUCUUAUUCAAAAAAUUUAAGUAAUUAUUAAUUCUUUUCAUAUCAUUUGAUUCAUUGUUAAAUAUAUUUUUAUGUACGCAUAUAAUUUUACAUAUUUCACAAAAAUUUUUGAAUAAAACGAACGGUCAAACAUGUGCUAAAAAGUUAAUGGUGUCAAACAUU
Molecule: non-coding RNA, 205 nt
Organism: Oryza glumipatula
Lineage: Eukaryota; Viridiplantae; Streptophyta; Magnoliopsida; Poales; Poaceae
Source: Rfam